CCCCUCCCCCUUCGCUCAUCAAGUGCAACGGCUCAGAGCGACACAUAUGCACGCUUCACUCUGAAAUAUAGAAUACAGAAAUCUGUUAAAUGCUUCAGACAUUGAGGUGUAUGUGUGCCUCCCCCCCCCCCCCCUCCCUUACAUACACAUAAUGUAACAAAGUACUUCUUGUGCUUGGAUACAUUUCUAAAGUACUUGUUUAUGCAUUUUAUGAUCUUAAAUUUGAAGCAUUGAGUCGACUUGAUAAGAUUAUCAAUAGAUUAAAAAAAGUCUGCAACGUUCUCGUAACAAAAGGAGGUUCUGAUUGUUUGGUAUCAUCACGCUGACAGAAGAGAAAACCCAUGAAAGCUUCUAUGCAAAUAGCUGCGAGUUAGGAAAAACAGUGCAGCCAAUAUUCUCCUGAAGUCAUCCUUUAUGCAAAAAGUAAACAGUAGAAACGGCCCUCAGGCUUCUUCCAAGUGAGCCUUUGUUUGACCUUUGCCCUCAGGCAGUUAUCCCAGUAGCGCUGAUGCAGACGCACGUUACACACACACACGUUACACACACACACACACACACACUUGUUACACACACACACACACACACACGUUACACACUUCUGCUUGUAAACUGUGGAUGGUGUAAAGAGUACAACCAUGAACCAUUGACCUGAAGAUCCACUGAUCUCUUUGUUUCAGGUGGAAGAUGUUUCCCUGUGAAAAGAACCGACUGAACGAUCCCAUUACAAAUAAAAGUUUGGAACUUUAUACUUAAAAACUACACUGAAUGUUAUCAAAAUGUAAACUAAGUAAAGUACUCGUUCUGGGAAUUGUUUUAUUGGGAUGAAUUAAAGUGGUGGUGCUGUCCUCUUUUAUAAGAAAAGGUCCUGCAUUCUAAAUUUAUAAAGAAUAAAAAAAGUUUCCCAAAAGUACUACUUACUGUAAUAGCCCACUUCCCAAUAAUACACUUAAAGUACUUUAUGUACUUUCAGUGGGUUGUUCCAUAAAAAUCACGAGGUACUGGUUUGAAUUAAUAAUCUAAAUGAACUGAACUGAGGAAUAAUAAAAUAAGAAGUACAUUAUCUCCUGCUGAGAUGUAGGGAAGUACAGUAUCAUACAAUGGAAAUACUUCUGUAACAGGAGUCUUCUUGAGAGUAUCUAGAAAGUUCCAGUUCGACCGUUUGUUGGAUGUUUGGUUGUUUCUUCCAGCGGCUCCAGCCCGGGGGGGCCGGGCCCCUCCUGAAGGGCCACGAGAGGACCCAGAAGGCCCGUGAAAUGAUUAAUGGGCAAGGAAGCAAAGUUCUGACACUCAAAUUCACUUUCAUGUUUUAUUCUCCAAUAGCUUUCAUUUUUAGUGAAAUAUUUGAAGAAGGUGAUUGAAAGUUUAUAAAACAAAAAACAUCUGAAACAUCUCAAGUUUCCUCUUUGACGAUUUGUGUCAUGCAAAUCAUUUCAUAUGUAAAACAUUGCUUUGUGAAGUAGCUCCUUGCUACUAACGAAGCAGUAAGAUAAAUACAGCACAAUAUCCCCACGUGGUAAACUAGCUAUUACUCCCUUUGGGUGGCUCAGCACAUCCAUAAAGUCCAAACACGCCUUUCACGUGUGGAAAUACCAAACUAUCGGUCACGCAGCGGGCAGCGGGGGCCGGAUCCUCCACCAACACGUGUGUUCAGAGGGCGCGUCGUUCUUUAGGACUGUAAAUCACAUCUAACAGAACCCUCUGCGUUGUAGACGGAGCCCCGUGAGUAGAUGUUUGUAGAUGUUUGUAGGUGAAGUGCAGUGUGGGAGACGCCCAGGUGGCCCCGGGGCCCCACCUUCCACAUAGCAGGUAACAAGCACAAGCAGAUACACAAAGACUGCAAAUGAAGACGCAACAUUAUUGCAAACGUGACCAAACCAACCACAAAGAGGCACAGAAAUAACAUGUUGAGACCAAAACAACAACAGACAGAUGCACAACAGCUGCAGGGAGACUCAGAGCGGCUCCAGAAGAGAUUCAUGGCAACUAUGAAACGUUGAAAAGACAAACUUAAAGAGACCCAAAGCUACAACAAAGAGUCACCGCAGACCAAAAACAUCACUUUAAAAAUACCAGAAAGAUAAUCAAAGCCACCACAGAGAUGCAGAACAGUUACGAAGCGACACGACAAUUCACAAAAAGACAAAAACAACUACAAACUUAUUAAAGUUAAAUACAAAAAUAGUGUCCCGUGUACUCGCGUCCUCUCAUCGAGUACAACCGUACCGUGAGUAUGAACAGCACUUCUGUUCCUGCAGAGAUUCCCCCCCGAUGACGUCCACCAGGAGAGGAGCCGCGACGCCUGUUCCCCCUAGUGCUGCUGAAGGUGUGCAGGUACGUGCAUCACCUUCGAUGACGAGAGGAGCAGUCGACUGAAACUGUGAAAAGUCUCACGUGAGCGAAAGUGUUCCGAUGUGCAGAACCAUCCAAAUGCCACCAUGUUGACAACUUCAGCGUCAACGAUGAACCGGCUCGCUGCCUUGGAGAUUGGAGAUUGGAGAUUGGAGAUUGGAGACCUCCCACCUCCCCCCCAUGGGUCCCGAGAUGUGGGACGUGCAGCAGCAGCACCUGCGUCCACGUUGUUUGUCUUCGCUCCGCUGGGCGUCUGUACGAUUUGUGUAAAUAAAUGACCAAGCGAGGGGGGGGGUCAUCAGAAGUCCAGGUCAUCACCAGAUGUUUGAGAGCUACGGCAACAGACAGAUGUUAAUGUGAACGUAGGAGAAAUUAUAUAUUCCAAUUUCCUGGGAGUGAAGCAAAAAGCUUCUGUUUUCCAAAUCGCCAUCAUGUGCUUCAUGUGUGGAGAAGAAGCCCAGGUUCUCAACAUGAAUCUCCUCCUCAUGGGCUUCAUGUGUGGAAAAGAAGCCCAGGUUCUCAACAUGAAUCUCCUCCUCAUGGGCUUCAUGUGUGGAAAAGAAGCCCAGGUUCUCAACAUGAAUCUUCUCCUCAUGUGCUUCAUGUGUGGAGAAGAAGCCCAGGUUCUCAACAUGAAUCUUCUCCUCAUGGGCUUCAUGUGUGGAGAAGAUGCCCAGGUUCUCAACAUGAAUCUUCUCCUCAUGUGCUUCAUGAGUGGAGAAGAAGCCCAGGUUCUCAACAUGAAUCUUCUCCUCAUGUGCUUCGUGUGUGGAGAAGAAGCCCAGGUUCUCAACAUGAAGCUUCUGUUCAUAUGCUUCAUGUGUGGAGAAGAAGCCCAGGUUCUCAACAGGAAUCUUCUCCUCAUGUGCUUCAUGUGUAGAGAAGAUCCCAG
Gasterosteus aculeatus aculeatus (three-spined stickleback) is the source of this 3241-nucleotide long non-coding RNA. NCBI's taxonomy places the organism in Eukaryota, Metazoa, Chordata, Actinopteri, Perciformes, Gasterosteidae. The record is from Ensembl.